Molecule: ribosomal RNA, 368 nt
Filed under: uncultured organism
Description: bacterial LSU rRNA
Rfam family: Bacterial large subunit ribosomal RNA
Source: RNAcentral
CUUGACUGUAGCUUGGAAUUGGGUUCGGGCUCUUCUUGCGCAGACUAGGUGGGAGGCUAUGAAGGUUUUCUUCCGGGAAAGUUGGAGCCAACAGUGAGAGACCACUCUGGAAAGGCUAGAAUCCUAAUGGUGAUCCUUGAAUCAGGACACUUGACAGUUUCAGGUGGGCAGUUUGUUUGGGGCGAACGCCUCAUAAAAGGUAACUGAGGCGCGCAAAGGUCCCCUCAGUCUGGACGGAAAUCAGACAUUGAGUGUAAAGGCAAAAGGGGGCUUGACUGCAAGACCCACAAGUCGAGCAGGAGCGAAAGCUGGCCUUAGUGAUCCGACGGUGCCGUGUGGAAGGGCCGUCGCUCAACGAAUAAAAGUUA